This 484-nucleotide ribosomal RNA is filed under the name uncultured bacterium. RNAcentral's name for it is "partial 16S ribosomal RNA". It matches the Rfam family "Bacterial small subunit ribosomal RNA", at positions 30 to 507 of the family's 1533-position model. The record is from RNAcentral.
AUUGAACGCUGGCGGCAGGCCUAACACAUGCAAGUCGAGCGGCUGCAGAGUGCUUGCUUCCGGUUUCAGCGGCGGACUGGCGAGUAAUGCCUAAGAAUCUGCCAGUUUGCUGUUUCGAAGGUCCUAACAUGGGCGCUAAUACCGCAUUCGCCCUGACGGCGUAAGUGUGAGAUCUUCGGGCCUCCCGCCCUCAGAUGAGUCUAGGUCGGAUUAGCUAGUUGGUGGGGUAAAGGCCUACCAAGGCGACGAUCCGUAACUGGUCUGAGAGGAUGAUCAGUCACACUGGAACUGAGACACGGUCCAGACUCCUACGGGAGGCAGCAGUGGGGAAUAUUGGACAAUGGGCGAAAGCCUGAUCCAGCCAUGCCGCGUGUGUGAAGAAGGCCUUCGGGUUGUAAAGCCCUUUUGGUUGGAAAGAAAAGCAGUAGGUUAAUACCUUGCUGUUCUGACGGUACCAACAGAAUAAGCACCGGCUAACUUCGUG